GACGAACGCUGGCGGCGUGCUUAACACAUGCAAGUCGAACGGAAAGGCCCUGCUUGCAGGGGACUCGAGUGGCGAACGGGUGAGUAACACGUGUGUGAUCUGCCCUGCACUUCGGGAUAAGCCUGGGAGACUGGGGCGAAUACCGGAUAUGGGCCAUUUUUAGGGUGAUGGUGGGAAAGUUUUUUCGGUGUAGGAUGAGCUCGCGGCCUAUCAGCUUGUUGGUGGGUUAAUGGCCUACCAAGGCGGCGACGGGUAGGCGGCCUGAGAGGGUGGACGGCCACAUUGGGACUGAGAUACGGCCCAGACUCCUACGGGAGGCAGCAGUGGGGAAUAUUGCACAAUGGGCGCAAGCCUGAUGGAGCGAAGCCGCGUGGGGGAUGACGGCCUUCGGGUUGGAAACUCCUUUCGCUAGGGACGAAGCUUUUUGUGACGGUACCUAGAUAAGAAGCACCGGCUAACUACGUG
This 465-nucleotide ribosomal RNA is filed under the name uncultured bacterium. Its description in RNAcentral is "partial 16S ribosomal RNA". It matches the Rfam family "Bacterial small subunit ribosomal RNA", at positions 28 to 507 of the family's 1533-position model. The record is from RNAcentral.